AUUAUGGAGAGUUUGAUCCUGGCUCAGAGUGAACGCUGGCGGCGUGCCUAAUACAUGCAAGUCGAACGAUGAAGCUUUUAGCUUGCUAGAAGUGGAUUAGUGGCGCACGGGUGAGUAAGGUAUAGUUAAUCUGCCCUACACAAGAGGACAACAGUUGGAAACGACUGCUAAUACUCUAUACUCCUGCUUAACACAAGUUGAG
RNAcentral lists this ribosomal RNA (202 nucleotides) under Campylobacter jejuni. Its description in RNAcentral is "partial 16S ribosomal RNA". It matches the Rfam family "Bacterial small subunit ribosomal RNA", at positions 1 to 197 of the family's 1533-position model. Lineage: Bacteria; Pseudomonadati; Campylobacterota; Epsilonproteobacteria; Campylobacterales; Campylobacteraceae. The record is from RNAcentral.